Molecule: long non-coding RNA, 260 nt
Organism: Episyrphus balteatus (marmalade hoverfly)
Lineage: Eukaryota; Metazoa; Arthropoda; Insecta; Diptera; Syrphidae
Exons: 2
Source: RefSeq, a predicted model, not a curated record
AUCUACUUAAAUCAUAAACAAACAAGAAUUUUGUUAGGUUAGUUGCUUUUCAAAAUAAGAGAAGGUCUGAGGACGAUUCAAAUGAACUCUUGGGAUUUUUGGUAUUGGCACCACCUCAAUAUACCUUCAAAAAACAUAACCAUGCAACGUGACCGUAAGCCUAUUUAAUUUAUAACAACUUAGAUAGGUAUGUCUUGUUUUAUAACAAUUUUGUGUACUUUUUGUUUUGAAAAUUUCAUAUUACCUACCAUAUUAAAUAA